CCCUUAGAUGAUUUGGGCUGCACGCGCGCUACACUGACCCUAACAAUGAGCAACUGUCUGGCCUGAGAUGGCUGGGCAGCCUUUUCAACCCAUGUCAUGAUUGGGCUAGAUUUUUGUAAGUCUUGAUCUCUAACGAGGAAUCCCCAGUAUGCGUGAAUCAUCAAUCCAUGCAGAUUAUGUCCCUGCCCUUUGUACACACCGCCCGUCGCUCCUACUGAUUGGGUGAUCCGGUGAGCUGUUCGGCCAUAGCAAUGUUUCUUGAGCAGGGCAAUGAAUGUUUCGCAAACCUUGCCACUUAGAGGAAGGAGAAGUCGUAACA
This 319-nucleotide ribosomal RNA is filed under the name uncultured eukaryote. RNAcentral describes it as "partial 18S ribosomal RNA". It matches the Rfam family "Eukaryotic small subunit ribosomal RNA", at positions 1470 to 1796 of the family's 1831-position model. The record is from RNAcentral.